Molecule: ribosomal RNA, 119 nt
Filed under: Triticum aestivum (bread wheat)
Lineage: Eukaryota; Viridiplantae; Streptophyta; Magnoliopsida; Poales; Poaceae
Source: RNAcentral
AGAUGCGAUCAUACCAGCACUAAAGCACCGGAUCCCAUCAGAACUCCGAAGUUAAGCUUGCUUGGGAGAGAGUAGUACUAGGAUGGGUGACCUCUUGGGAAGUCCUCGUGUUGCAUUCC